Vicia faba (fava bean) is the source of this 240-nucleotide non-coding RNA. Lineage: Eukaryota; Viridiplantae; Streptophyta; Magnoliopsida; Fabales; Fabaceae. The record is from the annotation of a GenBank genome assembly.
AUGCAAGGUCACGGUUUACCUUGUGAUGUUUGCAGGGAAUUAGUUUAUAUCCUGAAAUUCGAACUGGUUUAUCGAGUUUGUGCAUGUUUGAAAAGUGUUGUCAAGGGUUUUGGAACUGUUUUGAUUGUGAACUGGCUUCUACCUUUCAUGCAGGUUUUUGUUUUGUAUGAUAGGUUGCAACGUUCCGCAUGGGCUUUGGACAACAGGGCUAUUUUUGAUUUAAUUUUGGAUAAGGCAUAA